AACUGCGUCACGGCCCAGCGGCAUCUGUCCGGGACGCCUCACUCUGAAAGGCAAGGUGCGGACAGUGAAGGCAAAUAAAACAGCAUUCAUGUAACACUGUGAGAUCUCAGCUAAUGGAGAGAGUGAUACCCUUUCUACCUGGGUUAAGGAGCAAUGUCCAACUGUAAAAAGAUAACUAGAUGAAAAUUCUGAUACACAAAGUUUGAAGAACUUGGUCACAGACAUACUUCUGGCAAGUGGCAAAGCCAGACACAUAACCAAGCAAAAUAGCCUUGGCGUUUGUUGUCUUAAAUAUACCCUCUAUUUUGCACUCAUGUGUACCUUAUCCCUACCAUUUAAAUAGAGCUGUAGUACAAACUAUAUAUUAAUUACAUAUGAAAGGAUUAAACGCAAGUUUUGGAAAUGUUAGUGUUUACUUAAAUGACGAUUCAUAAUUCAGCCAGAAUGUAGGAAUUUGAAAAGACUUGUCAGGAUAUUUUGAGUCCUCAUGAAUGGGAGUAGACUGCUUCCACUUACUUCAAGACAAAUGAGAGGGAUUUCCAAAAGAAUGCCAGAUGAACUUGAACUUGGAGGAUGUGGAGGCUCUGGUAUCUGAUUCAUAUCUAAUCUAGAAGCCAAGUCUGACUGAAGAGACUUGGUGGCAGCAUGUUAGAUAGUACAAGCAGGAAAUAACUCCACUUACACUGAGACAGAACUAAGGUUGCAUGUUUUCUCUGCUCCAGAUGUAGGCUGUACAAUGUUGUCUUACACUACCUCCAAGAAUUCUGUCUAAAGAAGAGGAGACCACAAUAGAAAGAUAGGCAAUAAGGAGAGGCAUCAUAGAUAACCACUCAUAGGGAUGCAUGUGUACUCACGAAGGAAGUUGUUAGGGCAAGACCGCAAUUAUUGCAGAUCCCCAGAGAAUCCACAGAAGUACCCCAUGAAACCAGCAGGUUACUCAUCUGCCUUGCUAGAGGAAACCAGUGCUAGAUUACCAGUCUUUCCUGACACUUAAUUUUACCAAAGGAGUCAGAAGCUGUGAUUAGUCCAUCCUCUCCCUCACUGUAAGUUAUGCCAAUCAUCCUGCCCUUCUUUAUGUUCCUCUAAUGCAUCACGUUAUCUCUGCUUCAGGAUUUUUACAUUAAUCACCUCUGCCUUAUCUAUUCUUUGUUGAGAUUAUGAGGAGGUUACUUCAGAGAGUAUUUACAUAUUGAAUAGUGUUUCCUCAGAGAGGGCUUCUCUUUUUAGUAUGCUUGUGCUGCUAUAAUAAAAUACCACAGACUAAAUAAUUUUUUUAAAAAAUGAUAAAUUCAAGGCCGGCGCCGCGGCUCACUAGGCUAAUCCUCCACCUUGCGGUGCCGGCACACCGGGUUCUAGUCCCGGUG
This is a long non-coding RNA of Lepus europaeus (European hare), 1364 nucleotides long. RefSeq lists it as uncharacterized. The record is from RefSeq and is a predicted model, not a curated record. Lineage: Eukaryota; Metazoa; Chordata; Mammalia; Lagomorpha; Leporidae. The transcript is spliced from 3 exons.